AAACCAACUGGGAUUACCUUAGUAACGGCGAGUGAAGCGGUAAAAGCUCAAAUUUGAAAUCUGGUACUUUCAGUGCCCGAGUUGUAAUUUGUAGAAUUUGUCUUUGAUUAGGUCCUUGUCUAUGUUCCUUGGAACAGGACGUCAUAGAGGGUGAGAAUCCCGUUUGGCGAGGAUACCUUUUUCUGUAAGACUUUUUCGAAGAGUCGAGUUGUUUGGGAAUGCAGCUCAAAGUGGGUGGUAAAUUCCAUCUAAAGCUAAAUAUUGGCGAGAGACCGAUAGCGAACAAGUACAGUGAUGGAAAGAUGAAAAGAACCUUGAAAAGAGAGUGAAAAAGUACGUGAAAUUGUUGAAAGGGAAGGGCAUUUGAUCAGACAUGGUGUUUUUUGCAUGCACUCGCCUCUCGUGGGCUUGGGCCUCUCAAAAAUUUCACUGGGCCAACAUCAAUUCUGGCAGUAGGAUAAAUCAUUAAGAAUGUAGCUACCUCGGUAGUGUUAUAGCUUAUUGGAAUACUGCUAGCUGGG
This 521-nucleotide ribosomal RNA is filed under the name uncultured Hanseniaspora. RNAcentral describes it as "eukaryotic LSU rRNA". It matches the Rfam family "Eukaryotic large subunit ribosomal RNA", at positions 62 to 583 of the family's 3401-position model. The record is from RNAcentral. Lineage: Eukaryota; Fungi; Ascomycota; Saccharomycetes; Saccharomycodales; Saccharomycodaceae.